This 688-nucleotide ribosomal RNA is filed under the name uncultured bacterium. RNAcentral describes it as "bacterial SSU rRNA". It matches the Rfam family "Bacterial small subunit ribosomal RNA", at positions 813 to 1500 of the family's 1533-position model. The record is from RNAcentral.
CGACUUGGAGGUUGUUCCCUUGAGGAGUGGCUUCCGGAGCUAACGCGUUAAGUCGACCGCCUGGGGAGUACGGCCGCAAGGUUAAAACUCAAAUGAAUUGACGGGGGCCCGCACAAGCGGUGGAGCAUGUGGUUUAAUUCGAUGCAACGCGAAGAACCUUACCUACUCUUGACAUCCAGAGAACUUAGCAGAGAUGCUUUGGUGCCUUCGGGAACUCUGAGACAGGUGCUGCAUGGCUGUCGUCAGCUCGUGUUGUGAAAUGUUGGGUUAAGUCCCGCAACGAGCGCAACCCUUAUCCUUUGUUGCCAGCGAUUCGGUCGGGAACUCAAAGGAGACUGCCGGUGAUAAACCGGAGGAAGGUGGGGAUGACGUCAAGUCAUCAUGGCCCUUACGAGUAGGGCUACACACGUGCUACAAUGGCGCAUACAAAGAGAAGCGACCUCGCGAGAGCAAGCGGACCUCAUAAAGUGCGUCGUAGUCCGGAUCGGAGUCUGCAACUCGACUCCGUGAAGUCGGAAUCGCUAGUAAUCGUGGAUCAGAAUGCCACGGUGAAUACGUUCCCGGGCCUUGUACACACCGCCCGUCACACCAUGGGAGUGGGUUGCAAAAGAAGUAGGUAGCUUAACCCUUCGGGAGGGCGCUUACCACUUUGUGAUUCAUGACCGGGGUGAAGUCGUAACAAGGUACC